This 950-nucleotide ribosomal RNA is filed under the name uncultured archaeon. RNAcentral's name for it is "bacterial SSU rRNA". It matches the Rfam family "Archaeal small subunit ribosomal RNA", at positions 4 to 929 of the family's 1478-position model. The record is from RNAcentral.
CCGGUUGAUCCCGCCGGACCCCACUGCUAUCGGGAUAGGACUAAGACAUGCUAGUCAAGCGCUUUCUAGCUAAUGUGAGAGCGCGGCGUACAGCUCAGUAACACGUGGCCAACCUGCCCUUGGGACGGGAACACCCCCGGGAAACUGGGGUUAAUUCCCGAUAGGUGAAGAAGUCUGGAAUGACUCUUCGCUCAAAAGACGUUUAUGUCAUGCUCAUAUUCGUCGCCCAGGGAUGGGGCCGCGACCGAUCAGGUAGUUGGUGAGGCAAUGGCUCACCAAGCCUUUUACCGGUGCGGGCCGUGAGAGCGGGAGCCCGGAGAUGGGCACUGAGACAAGGGCCCAGGCCCCACGGGGCGCAGCAGUCGCGAAAAUUUUGCAAUACACGAAAGUGUGACAGAGCUAUCCCGAGUGCCAUCCGCUGAGGUAGGCUUUUACCCAGUAUAAAUAGCUGGGAGAAUAAGGAGAGGGCAAGUCUGGUGUCAGCCGCCGCGGUAAUACCAGCUCUCCGAGUAGUGUGGACGUUUAUUGGGCCUAAAGCAUCCGUAGCUUGCUAGAUAAGUCCUCUGUUAAAUCCACCGAUUCAAUCGUUGGAUUGCGGGGGAUACUGUUUGGCUAGGGGACGGGAGAGGUCGACGGUAUUUCCGGGGUAGGGGUGAAAUCCUAUAAUCCCGGGAGGACCACCAGUGGCGAAGGCUGUCGACUAGAACGCGCCCGACGGUGAGGGAUGAAAGCUGGGGGAGCGAACCGGAUUAGAUACCCGGGUAGUCCCAGCUGUAAACGAUGCAGGCUAGGUGUUUGGGCGGCCACGAGCCGCCCUAGUGCCGCAGGGAAGCUGUUAAGCCUGCCGCCUGGGGAGUACGGCCGCAAGGCUGAAACUUAAAGGAAUUGGCGGGGGAGCACCACAAGGGGUGAAGCUUGCGGUUUAAUUGGAUUCAACGCCGGAAAUCUCU